Molecule: ribosomal RNA, 1466 nt
Filed under: uncultured bacterium
Lineage: Bacteria
Description: bacterial SSU rRNA
Rfam family: Bacterial small subunit ribosomal RNA
Source: RNAcentral
AGAGUUUGAUCCUGGCUCAGGAUGAACGCUGGCGGCGUGCCUAAUACAUGCAAGUCGAACGGGGUUAUUGUAGCAAUACGGUAACCUAGUGGCGAACGGGUGAGUAACGCGUUGGUGACCUGCCCCAAAGAGGAGGAUAACGAACCGAAAGGUUCCCUAAUACUCCAUGUGAUCUUGGUUUUUAGAAAGCCUUGAUUAAAGUCGCAAGACGCUUUGGGAGGGACCUGCGUCCCAUCAGCUAGUUGGUAGGGUAAUGGCCUACCAAGGCUAUGACGGGUAGGGGACCUGAGAGGGUGACCCCCCACAAUGGAACUGAAACACGGUCCAUACACCUACGGGUGGCAGCAGUAGGGAAUAUUGUUUAAUCUGCGAAAGCGGGAAACAGCAACGCCGCGUGUGUGAUGAAGGCCUUCGGGUUGUAAAACACUUUUCAGAGGGAUGAGGAAGGACAGUACCUCUGGAAUAAGCAUCGGCUAACUACGUGCCAGCAGCCGCGGUAACACGUAGGAUGCGAGCGUUAUCCGGAUUUAUUGGGCGUAAAGCGUGCGCAGGUGGUUUGGUAAGUUGGAUGUGAAAGCUCCCGGCUUAACUGGGAGAGGUCGUUCAAUACUACUGAACUCGAGAAUGGUAGAGGAAGGUGGAAUUCCGCGUGUAGUGGUGAAAUGCGUAGAUAUGCGGAGGAACACCAGUGGCGAAAGCGGCCUUCUGGACCAUUUCUGACACUCAUGCACGAAAGCUAGGGUAGCAAACGGGAUUAGAGACCCCGGUAGUCCUAGCUGUAAACGAUGUGAACUUGGCGUCGGUGGGGUUAAAUCCAUCAGUGCCGAAGCUAACGCGAUAAGUUCACCGCCUGGGGAUUACGGCCGCAAGGUUAAAACUCAAAGGAAUUGACGGGUCCCCGCACAAGCAGCGGAGCGUGUGGUUUAAUUCGUUGCUACACGAAGAACCUUACCAAGGUUUGACAUGCAAGUAGUAGGAAAUCGAAAGAGGACCGACCCUUCGGGGAGCUUGCACAGGUGCUGCAUGGCUGUCGUCAGCUCGUGUCGUGAGAUGUUCGGUUAAGUCCGUCAACGUGCGCAACUCCCACUGUGUGUUAUACGUGUCACACGGAACUGCCGGUCUUAAACCGGAGGAAGGUGGGGAUGACGUCAAGUCAGCAUGGCCUUUAUAUCUUGGGCUACACACACGCUACAAUGGUCAGUACAAUAGGUUGCCAAGCCGCGAGGCGGAGCCAAUCCAAUAAAACUGGCCUCAGUUCAGAUUGCAGGCUGCAACCCGCCUGCAUGAAGCCGGAGUUGCUAGUAAACGCAGGUCAGCUAUACUGCGUUGAAUACGUUCCCGGGCCUUGUACACACCGCCCGUCACGUCAUGGAAGCUGGCAACACCUGAAGCCGUUAUCCUAACCGCAAGGAGGGAGCCGUCGAAGGUGGGGUCGGUAACUGGGACGAAGUCGUAACAAGGUAAGC